Molecule: ribosomal RNA, 1172 nt
Filed under: Enterococcus faecium
Lineage: Bacteria; Bacillati; Bacillota; Bacilli; Lactobacillales; Enterococcaceae
Description: bacterial SSU rRNA
Rfam family: Bacterial small subunit ribosomal RNA
Source: RNAcentral
GUCGACGCUUCUUUUUCACCGGAGCUUGCUCCACCGGAAAAAGAGGAGUGGCGAACGGGUGAGUAACACGUGGGUAACCUGCCCAUCAGAAGGGGAUAACACUUGGAAACAGGUGCUAAUACCGUAUAACAAUCGAAACCGCAUGGUUUUGAUUUGAAAGGCGCUUUCGGGUGUCGCUGAUGGAUGGACCCGCGGUGCAUUAGCUAGUUGGUGAGGUAACGGCUCACCAAGGCCACGAUGCAUAGCCGACCUGAGAGGGUGAUCGGCCACAUUGGGACUGAGACACGGCCCAAACUCCUACGGGAGGCAGCAGUAGGGAAUCUUCGGCAAUGGACGAAAGUCUGACCGAGCAACGCCGCGUGAGUGAAGAAGGUUUUCGGAUCGUAAAACUCUGUUGUUAGAGAAGAACAAGGAUGAGAGUAACUGUUCAUCCCUUGACGGUAUCUAACCAGAAAGCCACGGCUAACUACGUGCCAGCAGCCGCGGUAAUACGUAGGUGGCAAGCGUUGUCCGGAUUUAUUGGGCGUAAAGCGAGCGCAGGCGGUUUCUUAAGUCUGAUGUGAAAGCCCCCGGCUCAACCGGGGAGGGUCAUUGGAAACUGGGAGACUUGAGUGCAGAAGAGGAGAGUGGAAUUCCAUGUGUAGCGGUGAAAUGCGUAGAUAUAUGGAGGAACACCAGUGGCGAAGGCGGCUCUCUGGUCUGUAACUGACGCUGAGGCUCGAAAGCGUGGGGAGCAAACAGGAUUAGAUACCCUGGUAGUCCACGCCGUAAACGAUGAGUGCUAAGUGUUGGAGGGUUUCCGCCCUUCAGUGCUGCAGCUAACGCAUUAAGCACUCCGCCUGGGGAGUACGACCGCAAGGUUGAAACUCAAAGGAAUUGACGGGGGCCCGCACAAGCGGUGGAGCAUGUGGUUUAAUUCGAAGCAACGCGAAGAACCUUACCAGGUCUUGACAUCCUUUGACCACUCUAGAGAUAGAGCUUCCCCUUCGGGGGCAAAGUGACAGGUGGUGCAUGGUUGUCGUCAGCUCGUGUCGUGAGAUGUUGGGUUAAGUCCCGCAACGAGCGCAACCCUUAUUGUUAGUUGCCAUCAUUCAGUUGGGCACUCUAGCAAGACUGCCGGUGACAAACCGGAGGAAGGUGGGGAUGACGUCAAAUCAUCAUGCCCCUUAUGA